UACAGAGGUCCCAAGCGUUGUUCGGAUUCACUGGGCGUAAAGGGUGCGUAGGCGGUCGGGUAAGUCUGAUGUGAAAUCUCACAGCUUAACUGUGAAACUGCAUUGGAUACUAUCCGGCUAGAGGAAUGGAGGGGAGACUGGAAUACUUGGUGUAGCAGUGAAAUGCGUAGAUAUCGAGAGGAACACCAGUGGCGAAGGCGAGUCCCUGGACAGGUCCUGACGCUGAGGCACGAAAGCGUGGGGAGCAAACAGG
RNAcentral lists this ribosomal RNA (253 nucleotides) under uncultured bacterium. RNAcentral's name for it is "partial 16S ribosomal RNA". It matches the Rfam family "Bacterial small subunit ribosomal RNA", at positions 524 to 776 of the family's 1533-position model. The record is from RNAcentral.